RNAcentral lists this ribosomal RNA (468 nucleotides) under uncultured bacterium. RNAcentral's name for it is "partial 16S ribosomal RNA". It matches the Rfam family "Bacterial small subunit ribosomal RNA", at positions 28 to 507 of the family's 1533-position model. The record is from RNAcentral.
GACGAACGCUGGCGGCGUGCUUAACACAUGCAAGUCGAACGGAAAGGCCCUGCUUUUUUGGGGUUCUCGAGUGGCGAACGGGGGAGUAACACGUGAGUAUCGUGCUCUUGACUUUGGGAUGAGUUCAGGAAACUGGGGCUAAUACCGGAUAGGAGCUCCUGCUGCAUGGAGGGGGGUGGAAAGUUUCGGCGGUUGGGGUUGGACUCGCGGCUGAUCGGCUUGUUGGUGGGGUAGUGGCUUACCCAGGAUUGGGCGGGUAGCCCGCCUGUGAGCGGGGCCGGCGACAAUGGUACUGCGAUACGGCGCAGACUCCAACGUGAGGCAGCAGUGGGGAACAUUGCCCAGUGGGACGACGCCUGAUGCAGCAACGCCCCGUGCGGGAUGACCGCCUUUUGGUUGUAAACCGCUUUCGCCUGAUACGACGCGUGAGUGACGGUAAUGGGUAAAGAAGCACCGGCUAACUACGUG